RNAcentral lists this ribosomal RNA (728 nucleotides) under uncultured bacterium. RNAcentral's name for it is "bacterial SSU rRNA". It matches the Rfam family "Bacterial small subunit ribosomal RNA", at positions 772 to 1500 of the family's 1533-position model. The record is from RNAcentral.
ACAGGAUUAGAUACCCUGGUAGUCCACGCCGUAAACGAUGUCGACUUGGAGGCUGUUUCCUUGAGAAGUGGCUUCCGGAGCUAACGCGUUAAGUCGACCGCCUGGGGAGUACGGCCGCAAGGUUAAAACUCAAAUGAAUUGACGGGGGCCCGCACAAGCGGUGGAGCAUGUGGUUUAAUUCGAUGCAACGCGAAGAACCUUACCUACUCUUGACAUCCAGAGAACUUUCCAGAGAUGGAUUGGUGCCUUCGGGAACUCUGAGACAGGUGCUGCAUGGCUGUCGUCAGCUCGUGUUGUGAAAUGUUGGGUUAAGUCCCGCAACGAGCGCAACCCUUAUCCUUUGUUGCCAGCGAUUCGGUCGGGAACUCAAAGGAGACUGCCGGUGAUAAACCGGAGGAAGGUGGGGAUGACGUCAAGUCAUCAUGGCCCUUACGAGUAGGGCUACACACGUGCUACAAUGGCGCAUACAAAGAGAAGCGACCUCGCGAGAGCAAGCGGACCUCAUAAAGUGCGUCGUAGUCCGGAUCGGAGUCUGCAACUCGACUCCGUGAAGUCGGAAUCGCUAGUAAUCGUGGAUCAGAAUGCCACGGUGAAUACGUUCCCGGGCCUUGUACACACCGCCCGUCACACCAUGGGAGUGGGUUGCAAAAGAAGUAGGUAGCUUAACCUUCGGGAGGGCGCUUACCACUUUGUGAUUCAUGACUGGGGUGAAGUCGUAACAAGGUACC